RNAcentral lists this ribosomal RNA (497 nucleotides) under uncultured bacterium. RNAcentral describes it as "partial 16S ribosomal RNA". It matches the Rfam family "Bacterial small subunit ribosomal RNA", at positions 28 to 507 of the family's 1533-position model. The record is from RNAcentral.
GAUGAACGCUGGCGGCGUGCCUAAUACAUGCAAGUCGAGCGGACGGACGAGAAGCUUGCUGCUCGGAUGUUAGCGGCGGACGGGGGAGUAACACGUGGAUAACCUACCUAUAAGACUGGGAGAACAUCGGGAAACCGGAGCUAAUACCGGAUAAUAUUUUGAACCGCAGGGUUCAAAAGUGAAAGACGGUCUUGCUGUGACUUAUAGAGGGAUCCGCGCUGCAUUAGCUAGUUGGUAAGGUAACGGCUUACAAAGGCAACGAUGCAUAGCCGCCCUGAGAGGGUGAUCGGCCACCAUGGAACUGAGACACGGUCCAGACUCCUACGGGAGGCAGCAGUAGUGAAUCUUCCGCCAUAGGCGGAGGCCUGCCGGAGCAACGCCGCCUCGGUGGUGAAGGUCUUCUGAUCGUAGAACUCUGUUAUUAGGAAAGAACAUAGGUGUAAGUAUCUGUGCGCAUCUUGACGGUACCUAAUCAGAAAGCCCCGGCUAACUACGUG